AAAGUACGCAGCCGGUUGUUAAACAUCGUCAGAAAAAUAUUGCUUCUCGGCUGCCCAUCAACCAUCCUUCUAAACUCGCUUCAAACCAGCAUCCACAACCCCGCGUCAAAUGAUGGAAAAGGAGAACAAAUCCACCAACGACAAUGGGCGGAAACCAUCCGGGCGAGAUCUGCAGUCGCUCCCGACGCGACAAUACCUGGACCAAACGGUGAAUCCCAUCCUGCUGCAAGGCCUGAAGGCACUGGCCAAGGAUCGACCCCAGGAUCCAGUGCAGUAUUUGGCGAACUUUCUGAUGAAAAACAAAAGUCGCGUCGACGAGACCAACGGCGGCACGGAGGAGGGUUGAAAACAGUAGGUGAGUGACAAAAGGGGAAAACUUGGAAAAUAUGUUUUUUUAUGUGUCCACUGUUUGGGGCAAAAUAUUGUGAAAAUAGAAUGUACAAUCUGAAAUCAUGUGUAUCUCAAA
Molecule: long non-coding RNA, 466 nt
Organism: Aedes aegypti (yellow fever mosquito)
Lineage: Eukaryota; Metazoa; Arthropoda; Insecta; Diptera; Culicidae
Exons: 2
Source: RefSeq, a predicted model, not a curated record